AAGGCUAAAUACUCCUGACUGACCGAUAGUGAACCAGUACCGUGAGGGAAAGGCGAAAAGAACCCCGGCGAGGGGAGUGAAAAAGAACCUGAAACCGUGUACGUACAAGCAGUGGGAGCCCCACCACCAAAGCAUUCUCUGGUGUUGAAGGCCCUGCAAAGCAGCAUCGCGGUGGCGGAGCGUCGUUUGCGACGCCCAACACAAAAAACAAGCGGUGAGUGCUUUGGGGUGGGGUGACUGCGUACCUUUUGUAUAAUGGGUCAGCGACUUAUAUUCUGUAGCAAGGUUAACCGAAUAGGGGAGCCGUAGGGAAACCGAGUCUUAACUGGGCGUUAAGUUGCAGGGUAUAGACCCGAAACCCGGUGAUCUAGCCAUGGGCAGGUUGAAGGUUGGGUAACACUAACUGGAGGACCGAACCGACUAAUGUUGAAAAA
Molecule: ribosomal RNA, 434 nt
Filed under: Salmonella enterica subsp. enterica serovar Infantis
Lineage: Bacteria; Pseudomonadati; Pseudomonadota; Gammaproteobacteria; Enterobacterales; Enterobacteriaceae
Also listed under: 4 other names
Description: partial 23S ribosomal RNA
Rfam family: Bacterial large subunit ribosomal RNA
Source: RNAcentral